ACCAGCGGCGACAGCACGUUGAAUGUACCAGUUCCUCACGGAUCACACAAGUUAAGUAACGUUGCGCGUGGUUAGUAUCUGGAUGGGUGACCAUCUGGGGAAUCGCAUGCUGCUGGGU
Molecule: ribosomal RNA, 118 nt
Filed under: Diaphorina citri (Asian citrus psyllid)
Lineage: Eukaryota; Metazoa; Arthropoda; Insecta; Hemiptera; Psyllidae
Source: RNAcentral